UACGUAGGGCGCGAGCGUUGUCCGGAAUUAUUGGGCGUAAAGAGCUCGUAGGUGGCUUGUCACGUCUGCCGUGAAAGCCCAUGGCUUAACUGUGGGUCUGCGGUGGAUACGGGCUGGCUAGAGGUAGGUAGGGGCAAGCGGAAUUCCUGGUGUAGCGGUGAAAUGCGCAGAUAUCAGGAAGAACACCCGUGGCUAAGGCGGCUCUCUAGUACGGUACUGACGCUGAGGUGCGAAAGCGUGGGGAGCGAACAGG
Molecule: ribosomal RNA, 253 nt
Filed under: uncultured bacterium
Lineage: Bacteria
Description: partial 16S ribosomal RNA
Rfam family: Bacterial small subunit ribosomal RNA
Source: RNAcentral